UUUUAAGGCCAUACCGCUCUGAACGCACCCCAUCUCAGAAGCUAAGCAGGGUUGGGCUUGACCAGUACUUGGAUGGGAGUUCAUCCAAAAGAAGAUAAGCUAGAGGAACCACAUGGCAGUCAUGAGAU
Molecule: ribosomal RNA, 128 nt
Filed under: Carlito syrichta (Philippine tarsier)
Lineage: Eukaryota; Metazoa; Chordata; Mammalia; Primates; Tarsiidae
Source: RNAcentral